UGAAGUCAGCAUGUACUUCCUAGUACAAGAACAUGAUCUGCUGAUGAAUCUGUAACCAGCACCCGGUCAGAGCAGCAACUUUCAUCAAUAGAUGGCAAUUGUGUGACAAGGGACCCACGAGGCACGCUAACAUACCAGAGGCAUGGACUGGUGCGAGGUUUACAACUUCACGGAUUUUCAAGGGCCAGCAAAAGCUCACAGGACACCACCAGAACCUCUCUUUCCCGGGCACGGGCCCCUCUUUCAGGGCAAACCCAUUCCAGGGCACCCUGCCCUUCACAAAGAAAAGAGAGCUCUCCCUGGGGCUCCCGCCAGCUUCUCCAGGACCGU
Molecule: long non-coding RNA, 330 nt
Organism: Thunnus maccoyii (southern bluefin tuna)
Lineage: Eukaryota; Metazoa; Chordata; Actinopteri; Scombriformes; Scombridae
Exons: 3
Source: RefSeq, a predicted model, not a curated record